Molecule: long non-coding RNA, 305 nt
Organism: Suricata suricatta (meerkat)
Lineage: Eukaryota; Metazoa; Chordata; Mammalia; Carnivora; Herpestidae
Exons: 2
Source: RefSeq, a predicted model, not a curated record
GAUACAGACAGCCCCAAGCCACAAGUUCUCAUUUCUGCAUUUAACUUUCAUACUGAAAACAAAUCCUAAAGAGUACUGGAAGAGCAUGGAAGCAACGCAACAGCCACAGAGUCUCCAGUUAUUUGUUCAACUUCAUGAUGGACAUUGUCAAACCCUGAUCUUCAGUUUCAAUAAGUGAAUUCAGCAACCCAACUGGACCUCAGACUUCGAAGAGCUGUGCAUGUCAAGCACUAAGGUCUACUGCAUCUAAUAGAGAAUUCUAACUAUGAAGGCCUUUAAGAAUAAUAUCAUAAUAUUUUAUGUAA